RNAcentral lists this ribosomal RNA (355 nucleotides) under Arachnodes sp. 1 HKW-2010. Its description in RNAcentral is "partial 16S ribosomal RNA". The stretch from base 1 to 168 matches the Rfam family "Archaeal large subunit ribosomal RNA", at positions 1949 to 2143 of the family's 2987-position model. The record is from RNAcentral. Lineage: Eukaryota; Metazoa; Arthropoda; Insecta; Coleoptera; Scarabaeidae.
ACCUGCCCUAUGAAUAAUUUGUUUUUAAAUGGCUGCGGUACUCUGACCGUGCAAAGGUAGCAUAGUAAUUAGUUUCUUAAUUGGGAACUGGAAUGAAUGGUUGGACGAGAAAAAUACUGUCUCAAUUUAAUUUAAAUUAGAAUUUUAUUUUUAAGUAAGAAAGCUUAAAUAUUCUUAAAAGACGAGAAGACCCUAUAGAGUUUUAUAUAAAUUAUUAUAAUUGAAAGUUGAAGUAUUAUAGAUUUGAAUAUAGUAGUUUAUAUUUGGUUGGGGCGAUUAAAAAAUUUAAUGAACUUUUUUUAAAUAAUUCCAUUGAUUUAUGAGUAAGUGAUCCAUAUUUUAUGAUUAUAAGAUU